UGGGUUAGAUCCGAAAAAGUUUCUAAGGGUAAAGAAACUCAAGAGGAUACCACCCAGAAGCGUGAGACAGUGUGUUACAGAUGUGGCUGUAAAGGACAUUGGUCUCGUACCUGUCGUACUCCUUCACAUCUUUGUAAGUUAUAUCAAGAGUCCACGAAAGGCAAAGCUAAAGAAGUGAAUCUCACUGAAAACUUUGAAGGGACAUCGUACCUCGAUGCCUCUGACUUCGCAAAUGAGCUGGACUAGAUUACUCCUGAAGAGAACCGAAAUGCUUAUAAUAAGACUAUUGAAUGGUUUUCAGUAUUAUCAUGUAUAGAGAUGACAGUUCAAGGGCUUGCCCGCGGGCCUGACCUGAAAAGGCCCAUUGCGGGGCGGGAUUGGGCAAAGAUCUUGUGGCCCGUUUAUUUGCGGGUCUCGCGGGACAGGACCGCGAUGGUAUUGGGCCGGAGCGGGAUGCAGGCAAACAUUAAGGCCCGCUACACUUUUCUCACCGAGAACAGAGAUAAACAGUGAUCGGGUGAUGACUAUGGCCAUUCUUGCUCUCUGUGUUUCUUCCCUUUCGAUCGACAAUCACAAGCUCUUGUACACAAUUCAUCUUUUUUGCAUGCGAUCAAACGCCUUCUUCUUCUCUUCUCUUUUCUUUUCUUUUCUUCAUCUCUUUCCGUCUCUUCACUUCUUCUUCUUCGAUCAACGACCACAGAGCAUCGUCUUCUUCUCCUCUACACAGUAUAGCGUCGACGACCAUGUGCAGAGAGCAAAUCAGGAGGGAUGAUCUGGAGUCUCUUGGCUAUAUGAUUAUGUAUUUUCUUCAAGGAAGCUCCAUCAGGUUGUGGGCUCUAAGUGGCGAAGUUCUAAGUCACGACUCUUCACCAAGGUGGUUUGUUUGGUACAGUGGAGUACCAGCUUCACAGCAGAACCUUGAAGACACUGAUGAAACUUGUGCAGAUUCAAGAUAUCAUUUUGAUCAUGGAAGUGGUUCUCAGGUACCAAUGAUAACUAACUUAUGAUAUGCAUGAUCGUCCAGUAGCACUUGAACUGUUAUUGCUUAGUUUGAUAAGUAGUGAACAUGUAUUAUUUAGUCUGAUAGAACUUGAACUUGUGAUAUGCAUGAUCUAAUCGUUAGUCUGUUAGAACUUGAACUUGUUGGUAUCAAGAGUCUGACUUAUGUUAUAGUCUAAUCUAUCUUGGUCUCUUCUUGUUGCAGGUGACAUGUGAUUCACGAAACCAUUCGAGGUCCUUUGUAGUCAUAAGCUAUAGUUAAGAGUUCCUUUGUAAGUUUGCACGAAACCAUUU
Brassica napus (rape) is the source of this 1293-nucleotide long non-coding RNA. RefSeq lists it as uncharacterized. NCBI's taxonomy places the organism in Eukaryota, Viridiplantae, Streptophyta, Magnoliopsida, Brassicales, Brassicaceae. The record is from RefSeq and is a predicted model, not a curated record. The transcript is spliced from 3 exons.